GACAGAGGGUGCAAACGUUGUUCGGAAUUAUUGGGCGUAAAGGGUGCGUAGGCGGUUUGACAAGUCUGAUGUGAAAUCUAUGGGCUCAACCCAUAGUCUGCAUCGGAAACUGUCGGGCUUGAGUAUGGGAGAGGUGAGUGGAAUUUCCGGUGUAGCGGUGAAAUGCGUAGAUAUCGGAAGGAACACCUGUGGCGAAAGCGGCUCACUGGACCAUUACUGACGCUGAGGCGCGAAAGCUAGGGGAGCAAACAGG
Molecule: ribosomal RNA, 253 nt
Filed under: uncultured bacterium
Lineage: Bacteria
Description: partial 16S ribosomal RNA
Rfam family: Bacterial small subunit ribosomal RNA
Source: RNAcentral